RNAcentral lists this ribosomal RNA (253 nucleotides) under uncultured bacterium. RNAcentral's name for it is "partial 16S ribosomal RNA". It matches the Rfam family "Bacterial small subunit ribosomal RNA", at positions 524 to 776 of the family's 1533-position model. The record is from RNAcentral.
UACGUAGGGGGCAAGCGUUGUCCGGAUUUAUUGGGCGUAAAGCGCUCGCAGGUGGUUCGUCGCGUCGUGCGUGAAAGACCCCGGCUCAACUGGGGAGUGUCGUGCGAUACGGGCGGACUGGAGGCCAGUAGGGGGAUGCGGAAUUCCGGGUGUAGUGGUGGAAUGCGUAGAGAUCCGGAGGAACACCAGCGGCGAAGGCGGCAUCCUGGACUGGUCCUGACACUCAGGGGCGAAAGCGUGGGGAGCGAUCCGG